AAAGAGGGGCAAAGAUUCGUUAGGGUUUUGGCUGCCCCUGCCAUCGUGAAGAGAAAGUUGCAGAGUAAAGAAAGAAGCAGGGUUUAGGACUUCGACGGCUACUGUUGUUUCAGAUACAUUACAUUUACAACACAAGUCUACAUAAGGUAAUUUUAUUUUCUCACGUGCUAUGCAUACUUGUUUAUAUUAUGAUAAGAUUUAAAGCAAGAGAUUUAUUUUAACAUGUGCUUUAGAAAAUCAAAUUUUUAACGUUAAAUCUUGUCACUAUUGAUUGUGACGUCGAUAAUUGCACUUUCAUAUAAAUACGACCUUUUGCAUUGUUUAAAUGAGACAAAAAAAAAGGAUGAUAUUGUUCACAAACAGUAGUCUUUUAGCAAACGGGGAAAAAUAUAUUGAGUUUUGUUGUUGGUAAACACAUAUGAGUAAUUUUUCAGGUUUUCCAAUCACGACGAAUAUACAAAAAUUAUGAAACUGUAUGUGUAAUAGCAUCUUCAGGACCGCUUUAAAUUAGUGAAAAUUUGAGUUUGAGUAUGUUACGUUACGCGACCUUGUGAAUAUGGUUGAUACCUAUAGAUUUGCUGCAAUGAUCGAUAGUUUGAACAAGCGAGAAGGAAGAGGACGCUUUGAAUCUGUUUGUUUUAAAAAAAAAAAUAUUAUUUACUUCUUAAAAAAAUACUUAUAUAAAAAAUACUAAUUUUAAAAUUAAUUUUUUUAAAUUUAAACAAACUCAUCAAAGAUUAUCAAACUCGAGAGUUUACUUCUGAGAGUUCCAUAAACUAAUUAAACAUUUCAACAAUAUAAUAAAGGAUAAAUUUUUCAGUUUGGGACUUAUUUACAAACUAAUUCCCGAAAUGGUGUCCUUUUGAAACAUUUUUUCAGGGGGUGUUAUUUUUGCACCUACCCAACAUGCAAGUUGCAGGUGGGAGUGGCGACUUCGUGCAUGAGCGACACAUGGCAAGCGCUGGGGGACGUGCCAAGCUCGUUGGCGAUUUCAAGCUGCCACACUGGAAUCGCUGGUCCUGCUGGCGCCACCAGCCUAGGGUCAGCUUUUCAGGCAGGUUUCAGCUUUUUCAGAUAGCAGUGUAGCGCUAGCAGUGUUGGCGAUUUAGGAUAAGUAAGAAAACGUCACUCCCUUUGACGUUUUAGGCUGUUUAAAACGUCACUCCCUUUGGCAUUUUAGGGUGUUUAAAUACCCCUCCCCUUUCAACAUUUUUUCAACGCUUUAGUUUACCUCUACAACUUCAUUUCCUUUGUUAGCUUUGGCAAUCAAAAAUUUUAUGUGGUAUGAAAUAUUUUUUUAAAGUACGUUUUAUAUUUCAUAGACUUGUUAGUGUGUGUUUAAAUGUGUAAAAUAAAAGAAAAUUUAUGUAAUAAUGUUUAUUUGAAGAAAAUUUUAUCAGUGAAAAUAAAAUAUUUUGAAUAUGAAAUUUGUAGUAUUUUUUUAAUUAGAUUAGGUUGGUGUUGAUGAUUUAUUAGUGUGUUAAUAAUUGAUGAACGUUUGAACUUUCAUUUAAAAAAAUUUGUAGAUCAUAUUUAUUUGAAGUAUUUUGAGUACGAAAUUUAUUUUAAUAUGAAGUUGUAGUAUUUUUUUAAUUAGAUUAGGUUCAUUUGUUGGUGUGUUAAAAAUUUAUAAGCGUUCAAGUUGAAAGUAUUAUUCAAUGAUACUUUGUUGUUUCUGGUAUCAUAUUUAUUUUAAUAUAUUUGUAGUAAUUUUUUAAUUACCUAUUUUCAUUUUGAAGUUAUUAUUGUUAAGAUUAAUUAUUUAUACUACUAACUUCGUUCAUGAAUUAUUUUAUUUUGUCUUUAAAAUUACUAUCUUAAAAUUAUUCAUUUUUUUUAAGUGUGUCCUAUGAAAUUAAUUUGAAGUUAAUUAAAUUUUUUUAAAAGAAAAAUUGGAUGUGAAGUUCCAAUAAAGGAACCUUUUGUGAUUACAUUUUAUUAGUUUGAAUUUAAAGUUUUAUAAAAUCGUUCGUGUUAUUUAAGUGUGUUGAUGUGAAAUUUAUUUAAAAUUAAUAAUUUUGAUUACAUGUUGAUUAGUUUAAAAUUACUACAUUGAAAUCGUUAAUGUUUUUAAAGUGUGUUAAUGUGAAAUUGAUUUGAAGUUAUUUUUUUUAAAAUAAAGUUUUAUUUUGAAGUUCCAGCAAUGACUUUUUGUGAUACUCAUUUUAUAAUUUAUUUGACGUGUUAAAAUAUUAUUUUUAUAGGUACACGAUGAAUUCAGUUAUAACAUUGUUGUAUCUCAAUGGAAG
Molecule: long non-coding RNA, 2249 nt
Filed under: Glycine max (soybean)
Lineage: Eukaryota; Viridiplantae; Streptophyta; Magnoliopsida; Fabales; Fabaceae
Description: long non-coding RNA (GMAX_LNC000753)
Source: RNAcentral